GUGCUUGUUUCGUCAGCACAUAUACUAAAAUUGGAACGAUAUAGAGAAGAUUAGCAUGGCCCCUGCACAAGGAUGACAUGCAAAUUGAUGAAACAAAUUUUGU
Small nuclear RNA from Dromiciops gliroides (monito del monte), 103 nucleotides. Lineage: Eukaryota; Metazoa; Chordata; Mammalia; Microbiotheria; Microbiotheriidae. The record is from RefSeq and is a predicted model, not a curated record.